GGGCGGACUUGAGAAAACAUUCCCCAUCUCUUUAUGUAGUUCUUCAAUCAUGUUUUGACUUUAUAUAGAUAGGAAGACAGGUCUAAACUAGUCAAUUUCACAAGUCACUAGAGGACAAGAUUGGCAUGAACUCCUUUUCUUUUACUUUGGAAUUUCAACCAUGUGGGAAAGCAUGAAUUCCUUUUCUUUUGAUUUGGAAUUUCGCCUAUGUGGGAAAGCAUGAUAUCAAGCAUGGAUUCCUUUUCUUUUAAUUUGGAAUUUCUACCAUGUGGGAAAUCACUAGAUUGGCCUAAGAAUUUUCUGCACAAGUUUUUGGAUUCCCAACUUUUUGUAUUUGAUAUGUAUAAAAAGAAUUUGUUAAAUACAUAAAAAGUUUAUUUUUACAUGAAAUAUCAUUAAAAAUUAAUAUUAAAAAUAGAUAUACAAACAUUACUUAAAUAUUAUCCAUCUCAAAUUUUUAGACGCAAAUGUACGUGUUUGCAGUCAUAAGUCUAAGAUUGAUAAUGCAGAGCAAUAAAACUUGAUAAUUAAGAGAAUAAAGAACAAUAAAACUUGAUUGAAGGAUAUAAUAAAUUCAACAACGUCAAUGAGUUCUAUUGUUUUUUUUUUGUUAAAUUUAUUAUUAUUAAGGAGGGGAGGGUUCAAAACUAUUACAAUAAUUUAGGGGACAUGAGAAGUUUCGAACCCGAGAGGCAUGAGUGGAAACCCAACACCCUAUUCACUAAGAUAUUGGACCACAUGCAAGUAGUUUUCUUUCUAAAAUCAACAUCAACCUACGAAUUGAGUAUUAGAAUAAUCUAGCUCAAUAAUAAAUUUUUGAACGUUACCUCAAAUUACAAUGUUCAAGACUUCAAGACCACGUGAUAGUUGUUUAAACAUUCAAUAAAAAUGAAAAGAUUGGGAAGUUGAAAGAAAAAAUGAUUGCAAAGAGAUAUAGGUUUUUUAACUUUAUACGUUGAAGACGGAGACUACUCCGACUGCACCAACAACUCGAUUAUGACAUCUUUUUCAUGUUUCUCUAUUUAAAUGUUAUAUUCAUGAUGUAUAAAAAAAUUUGGGCUCCCCAGAAUUGGGAGCCCUCCACCGUUUUACUCGGCUACCCUGAAGAUGUGAGAACCCCUUUUUUUAGGUAGGUUUCUGGGAAGUUUUAAAUUAGGAAGUGGGAUCCUUCCCCACAGAUUUGGAUCCUCUCCGAGGCAGCUG
RNAcentral lists this long non-coding RNA (1203 nucleotides) under Malus domestica (apple). Its description in RNAcentral is "long non-coding RNA (MDOM_LNC005262)". The record is from RNAcentral. Lineage: Eukaryota; Viridiplantae; Streptophyta; Magnoliopsida; Rosales; Rosaceae.